This 454-nucleotide ribosomal RNA is filed under the name uncultured bacterium. RNAcentral's name for it is "bacterial SSU rRNA". It matches the Rfam family "Bacterial small subunit ribosomal RNA", at positions 36 to 518 of the family's 1533-position model. The record is from RNAcentral.
AACAACCUGGCGGCAGGCCUAAUACAUGCAAGUCGUACGGGAGCCGGGCUUCGGCCUGGUGAGAGUGGCGCACGGGUGAGUAACGCGUGGGAACCUACCCCGGGGUGGGGGAUAACCACUGGAAACGGUGGCUAAUACCGCACGAUCCCUGCGGGGCAAAGUCGCAAGACGCCCUGGGAGGGGCCCGCGUCCGAUUAGCUAGUUGGCGGGGUUAAGGCCCACCAAGGCGAUGAUCGGUANCUGGUCUGAGAGGAUGAUCAGCCACACUGGGACUGAGACACGGCCCAGACUCCUACGGGAGGCANCAGUAGGGAAUAUUGGACAAUGGGCGCAAGCCUGAUCCANCCAUGCCGCGUGAGUGAUGAAGGCCUUAGGGUUGUAAAGCUCUUUCGGCGGGGACGAUGAUGACGGUACCCGCAGAAGAAGCCCCGGCUAACUUCGUGCCAGCAGCCGC